RNAcentral lists this long non-coding RNA (438 nucleotides) under Mytilus galloprovincialis (Mediterranean mussel). Lineage: Eukaryota; Metazoa; Mollusca; Bivalvia; Mytilida; Mytilidae. The record is from RNAcentral.
UGUGUGUGUUCUCCUACAUUUAUUGAUUUGUGUCAUGGAUUGAUACCCUGUUUCCUUUCUUUUCUAGAUCUAUUAUGGGUUGUUUUAUAAUCAUAAGGCCACACCAAUUUGAUUCCUUGUUCGACGGACCCGCCCGCACCUUUUUUUUUCAAAACAUAUUUUUUUUAUUUUUUUUUAUAUUCCCGCUUCCCACAUCCGGAAAUGUAAUCAUGUCUAUUUCCCGCACCGUUUUUUUUUGUUGUAAAUAUUAUAAAAUGAUAUCAACAUUGGUUUCUUUCCCUCUUACUUAUAUUCCCUAUCAAAAAAUGUUCGUUGUUAGAAUAAAGUACAAAGAACUUCUGAAGGAUUUGCCUUCAACUGCAAUUAUAUUAUAUGCUGGCAAAACAAAACUAUCUAUAGCCGCUGCAUGUUUAUGCACCUGUCCUGAUUGAUCCAGGG